GAGUAACUAUGACUCUCUUAAGGUAGCCAAAUGCCUCGUCAUCGUAAAUAAAGGUUCGACUGGUUCGACGUUAAAGACGUGCACAUAAGCCAGGCUGGGCUCUACCGAGCUCGGCCCAGGGUCAAAUUGCAGGGAGGAGUGGGCCGGUCCAACCAGCAGCCAAGCCGAUCCCCGGAGGCGGGGGUCGGAAGGUCCAGAGACUAGACGGCCCGAAGGCAAAGGAAUAGUCCACCCAUUGGAGUAGUCGUGAUCAGCGUGGCUGGGUGCGUCGAGAGAUCGGCCAGACCCUUAGCCUGCAUCGCUCAGUAACGGCGAAGCCUUAGAUCGGUCCAAGCGAUCGGUCGGGCGGGUGUUAAUUUGUGACGCGCAUGAAUGGAUUAAUGAGAUUCCCACUGUCCCUACCUACUAUCUAGCGAAACCACAGCCAAGGGAACGGGCUUGGCACAAUUAGCGGGGAAAGAAGACCCUGUUGAGCUUGACUCUAGGCAUAGACGCGAGGUGAUUCUAAAGGUGUAGCAUAGGUGGGAGGGCCUAGCCCGACCUUGAAAUACCACCACUUUCGACAUUGCUUUGCCAAUGCUGUAACGAAUGAACGGCCCCUCGGUACUCGGCUCGAAAGGGUCGUUGCUGGGUAAGGUCAUAUUCUGGCGAUUUCCGAGCUCACAUGGUGGGUCGGACCCUCUGGGUGAGUACUUCGGGACCACAAACUGGGCUUCCGGGUCUGGUGCGUGUUGAUUCUGGGGGAACCAGAGACGGCUGACUCGUCCUCUGGGGCAAAUGGUACAUAAGUCGUGUAGCAGACUAUCUAUGUUGGGGAGUUUGGCUGGGGCGGAAAACUGCUACACGGCAACGGCAGUCUCCUAAGGUCCACUCAGAGACGACAGAAACGUCUCGUAGAGCAUAAAGGCAAAAGUGGGCUUAACUCGCAUUUUCAGUAGUAAUGUGAAGCAAGAAAUUGAGGCUUAACGAUCCUUAGCGGCGGGUGCCAGCCCACGCUUGAGGUGAGAGAAAAGUUACCACAGGGAUUGAUAAAACGGAGUAACGGGUUAGACGAUUAAACGGGCUGGGAUGGACUUGACUGGGCGGGACGCCAACCGGUUGAGACUUGAACGGCUCGAGUGGUUCCGAUCGUAGUCCGGGUAACCGGGCGACGCACCUGGAUGCUGGGACAACCUAUAACGGCUCGGUCGAGAGGCUGGGUCGGGAAACGUCGAGGGUACCAAGCGUUGCUCAGUAGUACUGGGCCGUGGAGUCGGGUCGGCCUAAGGGCACGGCCUGGCGGGUCACAAUCCUUCGUAACGGGGUUCAUCAGCAGGCAACAAGGUCAUCCAGUAGGGCAACCUGGGAUAGAGUGUAACUGGCUUCGGCCGACCUACCCUAACGGCUCAACGGGUUAAACGAUGUACUGCGUGCUACAACGACUGGUAAGGUGUGGGCUUGACUGGGCUUCAACUCGAUCUCGAAAGGGAACGGGUCAAAGGCUCGGACGGGCUUAAGGUACAGUCUCUCCCGCUUCUCAGUAGGGCUACGGCCUGACCGGUAGCGCUUCGAACCCCCGAGCACUGGCUAAGGCUGGUCUCAACAAAAAGGGCCGGAGGAGACGGGCUAGGACGUAGGCAUUCGAACCACGGCUUAGCUCGAUCUCGGUAACGGCAAACUUGGAACUGGCUUGUGGCCGCCAAGCGUUCAUAGCGACGUGGC
This 1701-nucleotide ribosomal RNA is filed under the name Leocarpus fragilis. RNAcentral's name for it is "partial 28S ribosomal RNA". The stretch from base 1 to 1070 matches the Rfam family "Eukaryotic large subunit ribosomal RNA", at positions 2257 to 3401 of the family's 3401-position model. The record is from RNAcentral. Lineage: Eukaryota; Evosea; Eumycetozoa; Physariida; Physaraceae.